This 3012-nucleotide ribosomal RNA is filed under the name Salmonella enterica. RNAcentral's name for it is "bacterial LSU rRNA". It matches the Rfam family "Bacterial large subunit ribosomal RNA". The record is from RNAcentral. Lineage: Bacteria; Pseudomonadati; Pseudomonadota; Gammaproteobacteria; Enterobacterales; Enterobacteriaceae.
GGGUUGUGAGGUUAAGCGACUAAGCGUACACGGUGGAUGCCCUGGCAGUCAGAGGCGAUGAAGGACGUGCUAAUCUGCGAUAAGCGCCGGUAAGGUGAUAUGAACCGUUAUAACCGGCGAUUUCCGAAUGGGGAAACCCAGUGUGAUUCGUCACACUAUCAUUAACUGAAUCCAUAGGUUAAUGAGGCGAACCGGGGGAACUGAAACAUCUAAGUACCCCGAGGAAAAGAAAUCAACCGAGAUUCCCCCAGUAGCGGCGAGCGAACGGGGAGGAGCCCAGAGCCUGAAUCAGCAUGUGUGUUAGUGGAAGCGUCUGGAAAGGCGCGCGAUACAGGGUGACAGCCCCGUACACAAAAGCGCAUGUGCUGUGAGCUCGAUGAGUAGGGCGGGACACGUGGUAUCCUGUCUGAAUAUGGGGGGACCAUCCUCCAAGGCUAAAUACUCCUGACUGACCGAUAGUGAACCAGUACCGUGAGGGAAAGGCGAAAAGAACCCCGGCGAGGGGAGUGAAAAAGAACCUGAAACCGUGUACGUACAAGCAGUGGGAGCACCCUUUGGGGUGUGACUGCGUACCUUUUGUAUAAUGGGUCAGCGACUUAUAUUCUGUAGCAAGGUUAACCGUAUAGGGGAGCCGUAGGGAAACCGAGUCUUAACCGGGCGUUAAGUUGCAGGGUAUAGACCCGAAACCCGGUGAUCUAGCCAUGGGCAGGUUGAAGGUUGGGUAACACUAACUGGAGGACCGAACCGACUAAUGUUGAAAAAUUAGCGGAUGACCUGUGGCUGGGGGUGAAAGGCCAAUCAAACCGGGAGAUAGCUGGUUCUCCCCGAAAGCUAUUUAGGUAGCGCCUCGUGAACUCAUCUCCGGGGGUAGAGCACUGUUUCGGCUAGGGGGCCAUCCCGGCUUACCAACCCGAUGCAAACUGCGAAUACCGGAGAAUGUUAUCACGGGAGACACACGGCGGGUGCUAACGUCCGUCGUGAAGAGGGAAACAACCCAGACCGCCAGCUAAGGUCCCAAAGUCAUGGUUAAGUGGGAAACGAUGUGGGAAGGCCCAGACAGCCAGGAUGUUGGCUUAGAAGCAGCCAUCAUUUAAAGAAAGCGUAAUAGCUCACUGGUCGAGUCGGCCUGCGCGGAAGAUGUAACGGGGCUAAACCAUGCACCGAAGCUGCGGCAGCGAACGUAUCACUUAAAGCGAUUCAGCGGGUUACGAUUGACGGAGCGAAGCGACGUCAAAGCGUAUACAAAGUCGAGUCGGUUUAAGGAUACGUUCGUUGGGUAGGGGAGCGUUCUGUAAGCCUGCGAAGGUGGCCUGUGAGGGUUGCUGGAGGUAUCAGAAGUGCGAAUGCUGACAUAAGUAACGAUAAAGCGGGUGAAAAGCCCGCUCGCCGGAAGACCAAGGGUUCCUGUCCAACGUUAAUCGGGGCAGGGUGAGUCGACCCCUAAGGCGAGGCCGAAAGGCGUAGUCGAUGGGAAACGGGUUAAUAUUCCCGUACUUGGUGUUACUGCGAAGGGGGGACGGAGAAGGCUAUGUUGGCCGGGCGACGGUUGUCCCGGUUUAAGCGUGUAGGUGUGUGUUCCAGGUAAAUCCGGUUCACUUUAACACUGAGGCGUGACGACGAGGCACUACGGUGCUGAAGCAACAAAUGCCCUGCUUCCAGGAAAAGCCUCUAAGCAUCAGGUAACACGAAAUCGUACCCCAAACCGACACAGGUGGUCAGGUAGAGAAUACCAAGGCGCUUGAGAGAACUCGGGUGAAGGAACUAGGCAAAAUGGUGCCGUAACUUCGGGAGAAGGCACGCUGACACGUAGGUGAAGUGAUUUACUCAUGGAGCUGAAGUCAGUCGAAGAUACCAGCUGGCUGCAACUGUUUAUUAAAAACACAGCACUGUGCAAACACGAAAGUGGACGUAUACGGUGUGACGCCUGCCCGGUGCCGGAAGGUUAAUUGAUGGGGUCAGCGCAAGCGAAGCUCCUGAUCGAAGCCCCGGUAAACGGCGGCCGUAACUAUAACGGUCCUAAGGUAGCGAAAUUCCUUGUCGGGUAAGUUCCGACCUGCACGAAUGGCGUAAUGAUGGCGGGCUGUCUCCACCCGAGACUCAGUGAAAUUGAACUCGCUGUGAAGAUGCAGUGUACCCGCGGCAAGACGGAAAGACCCCGUGAACCUUUACUAUAGCUUGACACUGAACAUUGAGCCUUGAUGUGUAGGAUAGGUGGGAGGCUUUGAAGCGUGGACGCCAGUCUGCGUGGAGCCGACCUUGAAAUACCACCCUUUAAUGUUUGAUGUUCUAACGUGGACCCGUAAUCCGGGUUGCGGACAGUGUCUGGUGGGUAGUUUGACUGGGGCGGUCUCCUCCUAAAGAGUAACGGAGGAGCACGAAGGUUGGCUAAUCCUGGUCGGACAUCAGGAGGUUAGUGCAAUGGCAUAAGCCAGCUUGACUGCGAGCGUGACGGCGCGAGCAGGUGCGAAAGCAGGUCAUAGUGAUCCGGUGGUUCUGAAUGGAAGGGCCAUCGCUCAACGGAUAAAAGGUACUCCGGGGAUAACAGGCUGAUACCGCCCAAGAGUUCAUAUCGACGGCGGUGUUUGGCACCUCGAUGUCGGCUCAUCACAUCCUGGGGCUGAAGUAGGUCCCAAGGGUAUGGCUGUUCGCCAUUUAAAGUGGUACGCGAGCUGGGUUUAGAACGUCGUGAGACAGUUCGGUCCCUAUCUGCCGUGGGCGCUGGAGAACUGAGGGGGGCUGCUCCUAGUACGAGAGGACCGGAGUGGACGCAUCACUGGUGUUCGGGUUGUCAUGCCAAUGGCACUGCCCGGUAGCUAAAUGCGGAAGAGAUAAGUGCUGAAAGCAUCUAAGCACGAAACUUGCCCCGAGAUGAGUUCUCCCUGAGACUUAGAGUCUCCUGAAGGAACGUUGAAGACGACGACGUUGAUAGGCCGGGUGUGUAAGCGCAGCGAUGCGUUGAGCUAACCGGUACUAAUGAACCGUGAGGCUUAACCUUACAACGCCGAAGCUGUU